This 494-nucleotide ribosomal RNA is filed under the name uncultured bacterium. Its description in RNAcentral is "partial 16S ribosomal RNA". It matches the Rfam family "Bacterial small subunit ribosomal RNA", at positions 28 to 507 of the family's 1533-position model. The record is from RNAcentral.
GACGAACGCUGGCGGCGUGCUUAACACAUGCAAGUCGAACGGUGAAGCGCCUUCCUUUUUGGUGGGUGUGGAUGAGUGGCGAACGGGUGAGUAACACGUGAGUAACCUGCCCCCUUCUUCUGGAUAACCGCAUGAAAGUGUGGCUAAUACGGGAUAUUCUGGGUCUGUCGCAUGAUGGGUCUGGGAAAGAUAUUGUUUCGGUGGGGGAUGGGCUCGCGGCCUAUCAGCUUGUUGGUGGGGUGAUGGCCUACCAAGGCGGUGACGGGUAGCCGGCCUGAGAGGGUGGACGGUCACACUGGGACUGGGACACGGCCCAGACUCCGACGGGAGGCAGCAGUGAGGAAUAUUGCACAAUGGGCGGAAGCCUGAUGCAGCGACGCCGCGUGAGGGAUGGAGGCCUUCGGGUUGUGAACCUCUUUCGCCAGUGAAGCAGGCCUGCCUCGUUUGUGGGUGGGUUGACGGUAGCUGGAUAAGAAGCGCCGGCUAACUACGUG